RNAcentral lists this ribosomal RNA (2860 nucleotides) under Escherichia coli 2-156-04_S1_C3. Its description in RNAcentral is "bacterial LSU rRNA". It matches the Rfam family "Bacterial large subunit ribosomal RNA". The record is from RNAcentral. Lineage: Bacteria; Pseudomonadati; Pseudomonadota; Gammaproteobacteria; Enterobacterales; Enterobacteriaceae.
GGCGAUGAAGGACGUGCUAAUCUGCGAUAAGCGUCGGUAAGGUGAUAUGAACCGUUAUAACCGGCGAUUUCCGAAUGGGGAAACCCAGUGUGUUUCGACACACUAUCAUUAACUGAAUCCAUAGGUUAAUGAGGCGAACCGGGGGAACUGAAACAUCUAAGUACCCCGAGGAAAAGAAAUCAACCGAGAUUCCCCCAGUAGCGGCGAGCGAACGGGGAGCAGCCCAGAGCCUGAAUCAGUGUGUGUGUUAGUGGAAGCGUCUGGAAAGGCGCGCGAUACAGGGUGACAGCCCCGUACACAAAAAUGCACAUGCUGUGAGCUCGAUGAGUAGGGCGGGACACGUGGUAUCCUGUCUGAAUAUGGGGGGACCAUCCUCCAAGGCUAAAUACUCCUGACUGACCGAUAGUGAACCAGUACCGUGAGGGAAAGGCGAAAAGAACCCCGGCGAGGGGAGUGAAAAAGAACCUGAAACCGUGUACGUACAAGCAGUGGGAGCACGCUUAGGCGUGUGACUGCGUACCUUUUGUAUAAUGGGUCAGCGACUUAUAUUCUGUAGCAAGGUUAACCGAAUAGGGGAGCCGAAGGGAAACCGAGUCUUAACUGGGCGUUAAGUUGCAGGGUAUAGACCCGAAACCCGGUGAUCUAGCCAUGGGCAGGUUGAAGGUUGGGUAACACUAACUGGAGGACCGAACCGACUAAUGUUGAAAAAUUAGCGGAUGACUUGUGGCUGGGGGUGAAAGGCCAAUCAAACCGGGAGAUAGCUGGUUCUCCCCGAAAGCUAUUUAGGUAGCGCCUCGUGAAUUCAUCUCCGGGGGUAGAGCACUGUUUCGGCAAGGGGGUCAUCCCGACUUACCAACCCGAUGCAAACUGCGAAUACCGGAGAAUGUUAUCACGGGAGACACACGGCGGGUGCUAACGUCCGUCGUGAAGAGGGAAACAACCCAGACCGCCAGCUAAGGUCCCAAAGUCAUGGUUAAGUGGGAAACGAUGUGGGAAGGCCCAGACAGCCAGGAUGUUGGCUUAGAAGCAGCCAUCAUUUAAAGAAAGCGUAAUAGCUCACUGGUCGAGUCGGCCUGCGCGGAAGAUGUAACGGGGCUAAACCAUGCACCGAAGCUGCGGCAGCGACGCUGAUGCGUUGUUGGGUAGGGGAGCGUUCUGUAAGCCUGCGAAGGUGUGCUGUGAGGCAUGCUGGAGGUAUCAGAAGUGCGAAUGCUGACAUAAGUAACGAUAAAGCGGGUGAAAAGCCCGCUCGCCGGAAGACCAAGGGUUCCUGUCCAACGUUAAUCGGGGCAGGGUGAGUCGACCCCUAAGGCGAGGCCGAAAGGCGUAGUCGAUGGGAAACAGGUUAAUAUUCCUGUACUUGGUGUUACUGCGAAGGGGGGACGGAGAAGGCUAUGUUGGCCGGGCGACGGUUGUCCCGGUUUAAGCGUGUAGGCUGGUUUUCCAGGCAAAUCCGGAAAAUCAAGGCUGAGGCGUGAUGACGAGGCACUACGGUGCUGAAGCAACAAAUGCCCUGCUUCCAGGAAAAGCCUCUAAGCAUCAGGUAACAUCAAAUCGUACCCCAAACCGACACAGGUGGUCAGGUAGAGAAUACCAAGGCGCUUGAGAGAACUCGGGUGAAGGAACUAGGCAAAAUGGUGCCGUAACUUCGGGAGAAGGCACGCUGAUAUGUAGGUGAAGUCCCUCGCGGAUGGAGCUGAAAUCAGUCGAAGAUACCAGCUGGCUGCAACUGUUUAUUAAAAACACAGCACUGUGCAAACACGAAAGUGGACGUAUACGGUGUGACGCCUGCCCGGUGCCGGAAGGUUAAUUGAUGGGGUCAGCGCAAGCGAAGCUCUUGAUCGAAGCCCCGGUAAACGGCGGCCGUAACUAUAACGGUCCUAAGGUAGCGAAAUUCCUUGUCGGGUAAGUUCCGACCUGCACGAAUGGCGUAAUGAUGGCCAGGCUGUCUCCACCCGAGACUCAGUGAAAUUGAACUCGCUGUGAAGAUGCAGUGUACCCGCGGCAAGACGGAAAGACCCCGUGAACCUUUACUAUAGCUUGACACUGAACAUUGAGCCUUGAUGUGUAGGAUAGGUGGGAGGCUUUGAAGUGUGGACGCCAGUCUGCAUGGAGCCGACCUUGAAAUACCACCCUUUAAUGUUUGAUGUUCUAACGUUGACCCGUAAUCCGGGUUGCGGACAGUGUCUGGUGGGUAGUUUGACUGGGGCGGUCUCCUCCUAAAGAGUAACGGAGGAGCACGAAGGUUGGCUAAUCCUGGUCGGACAUCAGGAGGUUAGUGCAAUGGCAUAAGCCAGCUUGACUGCGAGCGUGACGGCGCGAGCAGGUGCGAAAGCAGGUCAUAGUGAUCCGGUGGUUCUGAAUGGAAGGGCCAUCGCUCAACGGAUAAAAGGUACUCCGGGGAUAACAGGCUGAUACCGCCCAAGAGUUCAUAUCGACGGCGGUGUUUGGCACCUCGAUGUCGGCUCAUCACAUCCUGGGGCUGAAGUAGGUCCCAAGGGUAUGGCUGUUCGCCAUUUAAAGUGGUACGCGAGCUGGGUUUAGAACGUCGUGAGACAGUUCGGUCCCUAUCUGCCGUGGGCGCUGGAGAACUGAGGGGGGCUGCUCCUAGUACGAGAGGACCGGAGUGGACGCAUCACUGGUGUUCGGGUUGUCAUGCCAAUGGCACUGCCCGGUAGCUAAAUGCGGAAGAGAUAAGUGCUGAAAGCAUCUAAGCACGAAACUUGCCCCGAGAUGAGUUCUCCCUGACUCCUUGAGAGUCCUGAAGGAACGUUGAAGACGACGACGUUGAUAGGCCGGGUGUGUAAGCGCAGCGAUGCGUUGAGCUAACCGGUACUAAUGAACCGUGAGGCUUAACCUU